RNAcentral lists this ribosomal RNA (565 nucleotides) under uncultured actinomycete. Its description in RNAcentral is "bacterial SSU rRNA". It matches the Rfam family "Bacterial small subunit ribosomal RNA", at positions 336 to 917 of the family's 1533-position model. Lineage: Bacteria; Bacillati; Actinomycetota; Actinomycetes; Actinomycetales. The record is from RNAcentral.
CUCCUACGGGAGGCAGCAGUGGGGAAUAYYGCACAAYGGGGGAAACCCYGACGCAGCAACGCCSCGUGGAGGAUGACGCCCCUYGGGGYGUAAACUCCUUUCGAUCGGGACGAUUAUGACGGUACCGGAUGAAGAAGCMCCGGCUAACUCUGUGCCAGCAGCCGCGGUAAUACAGAGGGUGCAAGCGUUGUUCGGAAUUAUUGGGCGUAAAGGGUGCGUAGGCGGUGCGGUAAGUCUUCUGUGAAAUCUCCGGGCUUAACUCGGAGCCUGCAGGGGAAACUGCCGUGCUGGAGUAUGGGAGAGGUGAGUGGAAUUCCCGGUGUAGCGGUGAAAUGCGUAGAUWUCGGGAGGAGCACCUGUGGCGAAAGCGGCGCACUGGACCACUUCUGACGCUGAGGCGCGAAAGCUAGGGGAGCAAACAGGAUUAGAUACCCUGGUAGUCCUAGCCCUAAACGAUGGAUGCUUGGUGUGAUCGGUACCCAAUCCGAUUGUGCCGAAGCUAACGCGAUAAGCAUCCCGCCUGGGGAGUACGGUCGCAAGGCUGAAACUCAAAUGAAUUGACGGA